This 353-nucleotide ribosomal RNA is filed under the name uncultured Pseudothermotoga sp. Its description in RNAcentral is "bacterial SSU rRNA". It matches the Rfam family "Bacterial small subunit ribosomal RNA", at positions 433 to 778 of the family's 1533-position model. The record is from RNAcentral. Lineage: Bacteria; Thermotogati; Thermotogota; Thermotogae; Thermotogales; Thermotogaceae.
CUGUUGUGAGGGACGAAUAAGAUCUGGAGGAAAUGCCAGAUCGAUGACGGUACCUCACGAGAAAGCCCCGGCUAACUACGUGCCAGCAGCCGCGGUAAUACGUAGGGGGCGAGCGUUACCCGGAUUCACUGGGCGUAAAGGGGGCGCAGGCGAUCCAGUAUGUCGGGUGUGAAAUCCCACAGCUCAACUGUGGAAUUGCGCCCGAAACUACUGGGUUUGGGGCUGGUAGAGGGAGACGGAACUGCUGGUGUAGGGGUGAAAUCCGUAGAUAUCAGCAGGAACGCCGGUGGGGAAGCCGGUCUCCUGGGCCAAGCCCGACGCUGAGGCCCGAAAGCUAGGGGAGCAAACCGGAU